AUGCAAUGGUCUCGUUUCAAAAGCAUUGGUCAAUAUGCUUGCGUUGACUUCACUGUAGCCUAUGUGCCCUGCUUCCUUUCCGUGAGUUUUGACCGAAAAAUGGAAAAAAUAAAGCGCUUCCGUUUCAGAGUCCCUGUUUCAUGUUUGUUAGCCCAGGACAUUUUACAAAUCCAGACCAAACGAUGUUCUACGACCAUGUCCGGAAUAAAGACGAGCAUAUCCAUGUCACACAGGUGUCACUGUGGCCUCAACCCUUCGCCUUCGCUUACUCUGAGCUCGAUUGCUAUGUCUGAGACUUGGCAUUCCAUAGUUUUGCUGCUCAAGAAACAUUUCUGAUUAUUAACAAUGAUGGAAACCGUGACACGUUUUAUUUUUCAGGAUUCACAGAUGAAUAGAAAGUUAAAAAAAGAACAGCAUUUAUUUGAAAUAGAAACCUUUUGUACCAUUAUAAAUGUCUUUACUGUCACUUUUCAUCAAUUUAAUGCAUCCUUGAUUAAUAAAACUAUUACUUGCUUUUAAAAGAAGUAGUGAUCCUAGACUUUUGAAGAAAUAGUGCCUAGUUAUUUUCUUAGAAAUAAACAUUACGAAUGUCUUCACUGUCACUAUUGAUCAAUGUAAUGCAUGCUUAAUGAACAAAAGGUUUGUGCAAUGAAAGUCAAUGAGGUCCAGUGUUGUUUUACUUCAAAGUAUCUUCAAAGUAAAGUCGUGCAGGCUUGGAAUAACAUCAGGGUGAGUAAAUGAUGACAGAAAGAUCAAUUUCGGGGUGAAUGGUAGGAUAAAUUCUCAAGUUUCAACAGGUUCAGAGGGACUCAUAAUUAAAUGAGAUGUAAAUUUGAAUUAUUUCAAAUGCAUGAUUAUUUAGACUACCAAAAAUGUAGGUGAGUAUCCUGAUGCGUGCCUUUACUGUGAUGUAAAUAACUUUUGUCAUGAUAUAGACUUGUGUCGUGUUGUUCACCCCUAUUUAUAACCUUUGGUUUAAAACAUUGCACUCUCUCUGGCGCAGCAAUUACAUAAAACAGGUCACAGGUCAAACAGCACCAGAUGGGUUGAAAAUAGGGGCACUUCUCCUCCGACCACCCACCGCUCCGCCUGUAAACGUGCUAAAACAUCCUGAAGGAGCGGUAAUGUGCUUUAAACACACACCUCUGCUCAUAUUAACACAUCAGACGUGACGUUUCCUGUUCUGACACACACUACACACACCAUCUCUGAUCUAUGAACACCGUGUUGAUAAUGUAAUCAGUUCAAGUAACUCAUGUCACAUGAACAGAUGACUUUUUUUAUAAGCCAAGUCAAGCCAAGUAUUUGUAUUGCUCUUUGAAUUCACACCUUCAGUUACUUUUAUUUUUGUUUGUUUGUUUAGAGUUGAAAACAUCUAAAGUGGUGCUUCAAAAUCUUCAUUUGGUUCACUCUGGAGUGUAUUUUAAAUCAGUUGAAUGAGGAAGAACUGUGGGUUUUUAGCGAUUGCUUUUAGUCCAACAUGCUUUUCUUCUUAUAUAAUAGAUUUGAAACACAUCCUGAAGGAAAAAUGCCUUCCGUUUUUUAGCGGCUGGAUCGCUGGAGGCCUCAAGUUCAUAUUUAGACUGAAGAUCAUUUGAGGAACAUCAUCAGGGGAAUGUGGAUAUGAACUUCAUGUGUUAAUAGGAGUAAUUACAGCACAGCCAGAGGCGGCCCUGUUUGCUGAGACAGGAAGUGUUUGUUUUUGCUAAUUGUUCUGAAUAAUGAUUUUUAGUAUUAUUUUUAAUUUUUGCAUAGCAGUGAAGUUUGUUUUUGAAAUUAUUUUUAUGACCUGUGCAAUUUCGCUUCCAUGCGACGGAAGCUCGUUUUCACCAUGGAAUAAAAAAUAAAAAAAAUAAUUAUGACUUUAUGUCUCACAAUUUAUUUAUUUAUUUAUUUAUUUAUUUAUUUAUUUAUUUAUCUCCUGAAUUCUGAGUUUAUAUCUCAUAUUAUUUUUUUUCUUUCACGGACUAAAAAACAAAUUAAAUUGUGAUUUUAU
Long non-coding RNA from Cyprinus carpio carpio, 1996 nucleotides. The record is from Ensembl. Lineage: Eukaryota; Metazoa; Chordata; Actinopteri; Cypriniformes; Cyprinidae.